This 480-nucleotide ribosomal RNA is filed under the name uncultured bacterium. RNAcentral's name for it is "bacterial SSU rRNA". It matches the Rfam family "Bacterial small subunit ribosomal RNA", at positions 501 to 982 of the family's 1533-position model. The record is from RNAcentral.
CUACGUGCCAGCAGCCGCGGUAAUACGUAUGUCACAAGCGUUAUCCGGAUUUAUUGGGCGUAAAGGGCACGCAGGCGGUGACUUAAGUGAGGUGUGAAAGCCCCGGGCUUAACCUGGGAAUUGCAUUUCAUACUGGGUCGCUAGAGUACUUUAGGGAGGGGUAGAAUUCCACGUGUAGCGGUGAAAUGCGUAGAGAUGUGGAGGAAUACCGAAGGCGAAGGCAGCCCCUUGGGAAUGUACUGACGCUCAUGUGCGAAAGCGUGGGGAGCAAACAGGAUUAGAUACCCUGGUAGUCCACGCUGUAAACGAUGUCGAUUUGGGGGUUGAGCUUUGAGCUUGGCGCCCGUAGCUAACGUGAUAAAUCGACCGCCUGGGGAGUACGGCCGCAAGGUUAAAACUCAAAUGAAUUGACGGGGGCCCGCACAAGCGGUGGAGCAUGUGGUUUAAUUCGAUGCAACGCGAAGAACCUUACCUACUCUU